Small nuclear RNA from Choloepus hoffmanni (Hoffmann's two-fingered sloth), 167 nucleotides. Its record names the gene U1. It matches the Rfam family "U1 spliceosomal RNA". From Rfam's summary of the family: U1 is a small nuclear RNA (snRNA) component of the spliceosome (involved in pre-mRNA splicing). Its 5' end forms complementary base pairs with the 5' splice junction, thus defining the 5' donor site of an intron. Lineage: Eukaryota; Metazoa; Chordata; Mammalia; Pilosa; Megalonychidae. The record is from Ensembl.
AUACUUACCUGGCAGGGAAGAUAUGAUGAUCACGAAGAUGGUUUUUGCAGGGCAAGGCUGCUCCACUGCAGUCUGGGACCUGCUGACCCCUGCGAUUUCCCCAUAUGCAGAAAGCUCUGACUGCAUAAUUUGUGUUGGUGAAUGAAGGGUUGCCGUGCAUGCUUUCC